Molecule: ribosomal RNA, 486 nt
Filed under: uncultured bacterium
Lineage: Bacteria
Description: partial 16S ribosomal RNA
Rfam family: Bacterial small subunit ribosomal RNA
Source: RNAcentral
GAUGAACGCUGGCGGCGUGCCUAAUACAUGCAAGUCGAACGCUGGAGCUCUAGCUUGCUAGAUCGAAGGAGUGGCGAACGGGUGAGUAAUACAUAAGCAACCUACCCACGAAGACUGGGAUAAUCUCUGGAAACGGGGACUAAUACCGGAUAGGUAAUCGGAAGGCAUCUUCUGGUUAUUAAAGGUUAAAAACACUGGUGGAUGGGCUUAUGGCGCAUUAGUUAGUUGGUGAGGUAACGGCCCACCAAGACGAUGAUGCGUAGCCGGCCUGAGAGGGUGAACGGCCACAUUGGGACUGAGACACGGCCCAGACUCCUACGGGAGGCAGCAGUAGGGAAUUUUCGGCAAUGGGGGCAACCCUGACCGAGCAACGCCGCAUGAGUGAAGACGGCCUUCGGGUUGUAAAGCUCUGUUGUAAGGGAAGAACGGUAGAUAGAGAAUAUCUAAGUGACGGUACCUUACCAGAAAGCCACGGCUAACUACGUG